CACCGAUCAAAUUCAUACUCUGUGCGCACUAUAUCCUUCAGAAAUAACAGCUCACUCAUCCCAUGAUUUCCCUAUACUCCUAAAGUGCCAUAACCCAUAUCCAUAAAUUUCCUUAAUCGAGUCAUUCUCGAACUCCGCCUCUGCAAGUCAUGACUGAUUCCCAUGUAUACCCCAGACCAAAAUACAAUUUUGACAUAUAACCAUAAAUUGAAUUGCCAUUAGUUGACUCCCCCACUUGGCUCAAAGCCAUAAAUUAAAACACUCGAUAACUCACAAUUUUCAUACUAUAUUACUGUCAUAACACCGUAGUCAGUUCAACAAAAAUUAUUCUUAAGCUCAUGCAACAUCAACCAUAAAAUAACUCAAUCGUCCGCUAAACUCGCAUUCAUUCUUGAACACUCAAGUCAACUUUCUCAACCAGAUUCAAUUCAAAUAUCAUCACAUACGCCCCGCUGGAAAAAAAGAAAAUCUCCAUUCACAUAAUAAGGAACACACCUACGCAGAUUACUUCGCAGGGGAUAACCUACCUGAUUAACCUUAAAUUGGUAUCUUGUUAUACCCUUUCGUAGUUACAAUUACUAUGAAAUCACUUAAUCUUUCUGAGUCCAAACUCAUAACACGACAUGAAAAUCUACUUCACUCCACAACUAAAAAACAUGAGAGGCCCUUCAACAUACCCAUAACUUGAGGCCAUACGCCACAUCAAGACAGAAGCCAAACACNNNNNNNCCCUGAGAGGCCCUUAGAGGCCCUUCAGAGGCCCUUCAACAUACCCAUAACUUGAGGCCAUACGCCACAUCAAGACAGAAGCCAAACACCUAAUGGUACUUGCUACAUCUCAAGUAAGAUCUUCUUGUCACAUUCGAACAAUCUGAACACAUCUCACAGUCAUAUCAUUCUCACAACUCAGUCAUUCAAUCAAAAAUUCAACUAAUAGAGACACCACCAGACAUUUAAGUCUCAAAAGCACGUGCUCACACAAUCGAAAUCUCCGUGCUCAAUCUACCGUCAAAACGCAGCCUCAAGUCCUCCAGACUGCCCAUCAUCAGCACACCAAAAUCAUAUCUCGCACCUCAACCAUGGAAUCACAAGCCGCCGGCGCACAGCCGAUACCGAGUGCUCAAAUGCGCAUAAAAAUGCAUGGAAGGAAUUCAAAGAGUUACGCUUUGUUGAAUAAAUACCACCCGAUAAGGAAAGAAAUAUGCGAAGUAUAUCCUAAAUGUCUUGUAGCCUCUUGAAUGUAGGUAUAGACAUCAUCAUAAUGAUCUGCAAGACUCUACUAAACACUUGCUCAUGACUUGUAGAACCUAUGAACCUAGAGCUCUGAUAGCACCUUAUCACGACCCAAAAUCUUACUAGUCGUGAUGGCACCUAAUCCAACCCGCUAGGUAAUCCAUUCAACCACUAACCAAUUCCAAUAAUAAUUAAUAAAGGGAUUAAGUAAAGAAAUAUCUGAAUCUUAUACAUUCCCCAAGGACUGGUAGUACAAAUUAUGAGAUUCUAAGAAUAGAGUUUACAAAGCUGAAAUGAAGUAAAUACAUCAUCUGUUUGAAAAAUGCAUUAACAGAGUUUUAUAGAUCUAAGGCUACCACGAACAAGAGGCAGCGACAACUGGGACGCAGGUACAUCUUCAAAUCCAGCUCCCC
RNAcentral lists this long non-coding RNA (1646 nucleotides) under Nicotiana tabacum (common tobacco). Its description in RNAcentral is "long non-coding RNA (NTAB_LNC004073)". Lineage: Eukaryota; Viridiplantae; Streptophyta; Magnoliopsida; Solanales; Solanaceae. The record is from RNAcentral.